UAUGUGAGGACACCAAGAGGUGACCAUGAGCAAGCCCAGGAGAGAGGCCUCAGAAGAAACCAGACCUGCUGAUUCCUUGAUCUUGAACUUCUAGCCUCCGGAACUAUCCAACUUGAAUGCUUCCUGAUUAAAUAUAUACAGGAGUGAUUUCAGAGGAAUUUAAGUUUUGGAUCAUUCUUUUGAGAAAGAAAGAAAAGUACCCUUUUAAAAGAGGUGGCUCUUGAACAACACAGGUUUGAACUGCAUCAUUCCACUUAUACACAGACUUUCUUCUGCCACUGCCACUCCUGAGACAACAUGACCAAUCUCUCCCCUUCCUCCUCCUCAGCGUACUUUCAACAUAAAGACGACGAGGAUAAAGGCAUUUAUGAUGAACUACUUCCACAUAAUGAAUAAUUGAACAAAGGAGAGAAUUGUGAGAGUGAGAAAAAGUGAGACAAAGAAGAAAAACUAUAAAUCAGCAAAAUACAGUGCCAAGAGCUCUGGACCACAAAUCAGAAGACCUGAGCCCUAAUUCCUUUCCAGUCAUUGGAUUUGUUCGUCGCUUGCCAAAACAGCAGCGAACUCUCUGUCAAACUGCAACUCAUUUUAUCGGAGCAAAAACUGAACAAAGAACUGCUAUCAUUUCUGAGGUGUGAUUUCUUAAGCAUUUUGUCUUGUGAUUGAUUUUUUAAAUAUAGUAAUUUUAAAGACACGGUUGAAAGAAGCAGCUGAUCGCUAAUAUCUGAUGGCUAAUAUGCUAAAUUUCCCUG
Molecule: long non-coding RNA, 752 nt
Filed under: Pan troglodytes (chimpanzee)
Lineage: Eukaryota; Metazoa; Chordata; Mammalia; Primates; Hominidae
Description: lincRNA
Source: RNAcentral